GACGAACGCUGGCGGCGUGCCUAACACAUGCAAGUCAGGGGGAAAGCUGGCUUCGGCCAGGUGCCUAACACAUGCAAGUCAGGGGGAAAGCUGGCUUCGGCCAGUGAGUACACCGGCGGACGGGUGAGUAACGCGUGAGCAACCUACCCCGCAGACCGGGAUAACCCAUCGAAAGGUGGGCUAAUACUGGAUGAGCGCACGUGCUGCAUGGCAUGUGUGAAAAGGCAGGCAUUAAGCUUGCGCUGCGGGAUGGGCUCGCGUCCCAUUAGCUAGUUGGUGAGGUAACGGCUCACCAAGGCUACGAUGGGUAGCCGGCCUGAGAGGGUGGUCGGCCACAUUGGGACUGAGACACGGCCCAGACUCCUACGGGAGGCAGCAGUGGGGAAUAUUGCGCAAUGCCGGAAACGGUGACGCAGCGACGCCGCGUGGGCGAGGAAGGCCUUCGGGUCGUAAAGCCCUUUCAGUGGGGAAGAAAGGUCCAGGCAGUAACUGGUCUGGAUUUGACGGUACCCACAGAAGAAGCCCCGGCUAACUCCGUGCCAGCAGCCGCGGUAAUACGGAGGGGGCGAGCGCUGUUCGGAGUCACUGGGCGUAAAGCGCACGUAGGCGGUGCGGUAAGUCUGGGGU
Molecule: ribosomal RNA, 627 nt
Filed under: uncultured bacterium
Lineage: Bacteria
Description: bacterial SSU rRNA
Rfam family: Bacterial small subunit ribosomal RNA
Source: RNAcentral